CCUGGAGUCGGACCUGAGGCCUGGCAGGAGUAACUGGCUGGAGAGGUUUCUUUGGUGACAGCUGUUUGAAGGGGCCCCUGGGGCAGGCUCCAGCGAGCCAAAUCUGAACCCUGGACACCUGGGUCCUUUAAACAGCUUGUGCGCUACAGGGUUGCCCUGUGAGUCCGGGGCCUGCAGAGCUGCACUGCAAAUGAGAACUGAGAUGUUCUGGCCGGGUGGCAUACCAAAGGGAGUAGUAGUCAUGGAUGGCGAUAGUACCCGUCUCCCUUCCAUCUUUGUCUUCCUGGGUUUGAGCCUGGGGACCAUAGCUCAGGUUGGGGGAUUGUGCACGGAGCACUUUGCUUAGGUUGGGGGGUUGUGCACGGAGCACUUUGCUUAGGUUGGGGGGUUGUGCACGGAGCGCUUUGCUACCUUGCAGUCACACCCAAAAAACAGAUAGUAGGUUGCCUCCUGAGAUACAAACACCUGGCAUGUCACCCCCAAGCCCCACGUGAUCUGCAUCCUGUCUAGCCUUUGGAGUGCACUGUCACUGUGGCUUUGCUUCCCUCGUUGUCUCCCAAAAUCCCCUUUUCAGACAGAGCAGGAGAACACUGUGGCCCCUUGGACCUCUUAUGAACAGAGUUUUUCAGGUUCACACAAAACAGAGGUGUAAGGAGAGGAAUUAUAGAGCAAAUGCUAAAAACUCCAUGAACAACCCACUCUGAGUGUUGUUCUAGGUUCUUCUGUACCAUGGGAUGAAAACAGAACUCUAAGGUAACUGGCUAGAGAGGCUGCCCUCCUGGGUGCAUUAAUUAGGAGAUUAUGCCACCCUUAGUCUCCCUGGGCCAGUCAUGCUAGUGGUUUAUUUAUAAUUUAUCUGGGAGGGUAGCACGGGGCUAGAGGAGGGAGGGGAAGCGUAGAAGCAUAAGGACUACAAAGCAACACACCAGCACACACCUCCGAGCCCUUUCUGGAACUCAAGAAGAGAGGAAGGGAUUUUAACUUUCUCCUUGUUGUGGUGUUAGGGAGAGGUGGGGAGCAAGAGCAGCAAAGGAAGAAGUGGGUAGAACCUACAGGAAUAGGGACACAGGGUGAGUAGUGGACAAAGGAUAUAUGGAUAAAUAAAAUGUGGAUAUUUUUAGUCACAGGCAGGAGGCUGUGACUACCCAAACGCUCUCUUACUGGUUUAUAUGGACAGAUCACUGUGGAAAUGAGAGUAUGGGUAUGGGCAGAUGGAGAUAUUGCAGAAGGGAAUUUGAGGCCCAGAGACAGGCUGGAUCCCCUGGAGAAAUGAGGGUAGAAGAGCGCACAAUAGGCAUCUGGCAGCCCUCUGUAGGAAGGAGAAACUUCCCUGAAAGGAGGUGUCCCCACAUCAUGGUAUCUGAAAAGAGCUGCCUCCUCACCCCCCAUUGUGGAACACAAGUUUCAUUCUUAGUACUCAGAGUAAGUAUGGGAGAGGGCUUGGGUAAGUAAAUGGGGCCCAGUCUUGAUGUCGAGAGCAUUUAACGAGGGAAACUGGAAGCCUUGCAGAACGGGGGAGAAUGGCCCGCUUGCCACAAUGAGUGCAGCAAGAGGGUGGGCCAGGGAGCUGAAGGGAAGGUUGGAAAAAGAAAACACCUACUUCAAAGGUGACAGGGAGCUUUUGACAGGACCUGAUGUCUUUGAUGCCAAAAACUCCAGUCCUAAGAUGAGGAGAGUUAAAUGUGGAAUGCUAGUGGGUCUACAGAGUCAGCCAGGAGCUAGCGGAAGACUUGUCUGCAUCCCUGGUGCUCUGCUCAGGAGCAGGGGGAUUGUAAUUCCCUGAGGCAAGCUCUUGCCUUCCCUGAACUCAUUUCUUUGUACCAGUUCUCCAGUCCCUUGGAUCCUAGAGAAGGGGAGAGCCAUCUGGCCAGGCCUUCCUCUAGGAAAAUGAGAUGAGAAGGGUAAUGCAGAGAUGGCAUGAGGUUCAUCCCACUCACUACUGGUUAGUAAAGGGCCCUUUCUACAAGGAAGUCCAAGUUUCUUUUCAACUCGUCCCACUUCCAUAGGUCUUGGACCCAUGCAAAAAAGGUACAUGAGCAGAGGGAGACAUUAUCCUUGGCCUGGGGUUAGGGCAGCAAGGCAGUGGUGCUGGGACAUUGGUUUUCACUCAGGUCCUGAAUCUCUGGGAGUCAGGAAAAGGGAAAAGUGACAGGCUGAUGGGUUAGGUUUUCUGAGGGCCAAAGGGUUUUAAGAUUGGGCUCUUUCCUGGCCAGGCGCAGUGGCUCACGCCUGUAAUCCCAGCACUUUGGGAGGCCGAGGCGGGCGGAUCACCUGAGUUUGGGCGUUCGAGACCAGCCUGACCAAUAUGGAGAAACCCCGUCUCUACUAAAAAUACAAAAUUAGCCGGGCAUGGUGGCACAUGCCUGUAAUCCCAGCUACCCGGGAGGCUGAGGCAGGAAAAUCACUUGAACCUGGGAGGCUGAGGUUGCAGUGAGCCGAGAUCGCGCCAUGGCACUCCAGCCUGGGCAACAAGAG
RNAcentral lists this long non-coding RNA (2475 nucleotides) under Homo sapiens (human). RNAcentral describes it as "HSALNT0184888". The record is from RNAcentral. Lineage: Eukaryota; Metazoa; Chordata; Mammalia; Primates; Hominidae.